RNAcentral lists this long non-coding RNA (326 nucleotides) under Mytilus galloprovincialis (Mediterranean mussel). The record is from RNAcentral. Lineage: Eukaryota; Metazoa; Mollusca; Bivalvia; Mytilida; Mytilidae.
GUGCGCCAUUAUAUUAAUAAUCUAACAGAAAACAAAUGGAAAAAUAGAAGAAUUUAUACAUUGGAAACUGGAGAAUCAUAUACACAAUGAGAAUUAGCUAAUAUUUUAUGACCUUGUCUUAUGGUUGUAAACCGAUCGUUUCAAAUCAAUCUGUCAUGAACGAAAAAGAACAAACCUUCUUUUCUUUCCGUUUCAGCUUUCAAUUCUUAUUUGACACAUUUCAAUAUGUUUUACAUCAUGAUUGCAUACAAAAUUUUAUACGUUUGAAGUUUUGAAUCUCUUGUUGAAUAAUUUUUAUAUCAAUCAUACGAACGGAUUUUAAUUUG